UGGGGAAUAUUGGACAAUGGGCGAAAGCCUGAUCCAGCCAUGCCGCGUGUGUGAAGAAGGUCUUCGGAUUGUAAAGCACUUUAAGUUGGGAGGAAGGGUUGUAGAUUAAUACUCUGCAAUUUUGACGUUACCGACAGAAUAAGCACCGGCUAACUCUGUGCCAGCAGCCGCGGUAAUACAGAGGGUGCAAGCGUUAAUCGGAAUUACUGGGCGUAAAGCGCGCGUAGGUGGUUUGUUAAGUUGGAUGUGAAAGCCCCGGGCUCAACCUGGGAACUGCAUCCAAAACUGGCAAGCUAGAGUACGGUAGAGGGUGGUGGAAUUUCCUGUGUAGCGGUGAAGUGCGUAGAUAUAGGAAGGAACACCAGUGGCGAAGGCGACCACCUGGACUGAUACUGACACUGAGGUGCGAAAGCGUGGGGAGCAAACA
RNAcentral lists this ribosomal RNA (427 nucleotides) under uncultured bacterium. RNAcentral's name for it is "partial 16S ribosomal RNA". It matches the Rfam family "Bacterial small subunit ribosomal RNA", at positions 355 to 774 of the family's 1533-position model. The record is from RNAcentral.